CUUGGAAGCAGCCAUUCAUUUAAAGAGUGCGUAACAGCUCACUAGUCGAGGAGUCGGGCGUGGAUAAUAAUCGGGUAUGAAGUUGUCUACCGAAGCAGUGGGAUCAUUAAUAUGAUCGGUAGGGGAGCAUUCCAGUCGGCGUCGAAGGCGUACCGUGAGGUAUUCUGGAGCGUCUGGAAAAGCAAAUGUAGGUAUAAGUAACGAUAAAGGGGGCGGGAAACCCCCUCGCCGAAAGACUAAGGUUUCCUGAUCAACGCUAAUCGGAUCAGGGUCAGUCGGGUCCUAAGGCUCAGCCGAACGGCGAUGCCGAUGGCAGAAACGGUUAAUAUUCCGUUACUACCUUCAGGAGUGACGUGGAGACGCAGUAGUGACAGUGCCGCCAUCUGACGGAAUAGAUGGUUGAAGGGUGUAGGAGUCGAUCAUGGCAGGCAAAUCCACCAUGAGAUCCGAACCUGAUAGUAUGCCGCGUCCUUCGGGACAAGGCAAUAGUGCGCGUAAGCAUGCUGCCGAGAAAAUCCGCUAAACUUAAUCCUGCAGGUACCCGUACCGCAAACGGACACACGUAGUCGGGAUGAAUAUUCUAAGGCGCUUGAGUGAUUCACGGUUAAGGAACUAGGCAAACUGACCCUGUAACUUCGGGAUAAAGGGUCCCUACCCUUUUAUGGGAGGGCGCAGAGAAUCGGUCCAGGCAACUGUUUAACAAAAACACAGGGCUGUGCCAAAUCGAAAGAUCCAGUAUACAGCCUGACACCUGCCCGGUGCUGGAAGGUUAAGAGGAGAUGUCAUCGAUAAGAGAAGCGUUGAAUUGAAGCCCCAGUAAACGGCGGCCGUAACUAUAACGGUCCUAAGGUAGCGAAAUUCCUUGUCGGGUAAGUUCCGACCUGCACGAAUGGUGUAAUGAUCUGGACGCUGUCUCAACCGUGAGCUCAGUGAAAUUGUAGUAUCGGUGAAGAUGCCGAUUACCCGCGAUGGGACGAAAAGACCCCGUGAACCUUUACUAUAGCUUAUCAUUGAAUCUGGGCACGUGAUGUGUAGGAUAGGUCGGAGGCUUUGAAGCAGGUACGCCAGUAUUUGUGGAGCCGCUGUUGAAAUACGACCCUUUAUUUGUUUGGAUUCUAACCCGUGGAACGGGGACAUUGAUUGGUGGGUAGUUUGACUGGGGUGGUCGCCUCCAAAAGCGUAACGGAGGCUUCUAAAGGUGCCCUCCGGCCGAUUGGUAACCGGCCUUAGAGUGUAAUGGCAUAAGGGCGCUUGACUGGGAGACUGACAAGUCGAUCAGGUAGGAAACUAGAGCAUAGUGAUCCGGUGUUUCCGUAUGGAAGGGACAUCGCUCAAAGGAUAAAAGGUACUCCGGGGAUAACAGGCUGAUCCCUCCCA
Molecule: ribosomal RNA, 1377 nt
Filed under: human gut metagenome
Description: bacterial LSU rRNA
Rfam family: Bacterial large subunit ribosomal RNA
Source: RNAcentral